RNAcentral lists this ribosomal RNA (301 nucleotides) under uncultured bacterium. Its description in RNAcentral is "partial 16S ribosomal RNA". It matches the Rfam family "Bacterial small subunit ribosomal RNA", at positions 509 to 807 of the family's 1533-position model. The record is from RNAcentral.
CAGUCGCCGCGGGAAUACGUAGGGUGCAAGCGUUAAUCGGAAUUACUGGGCGUAAAGCGUGCGCAGGCGGUUUGUUAAGACAGAUGUGAAAUCCCCGGGCUCAACCUGGGAACUGCAUUUGUGACUGGCAAGCUAGAGUAUGGCAGAGGGGGGUGGAAUUCCGCGUGUAGCAGUGAAAUGCGUAGAUAUGCGGAGGAACACCGAUGGCGAAGGCAGCCCCCUGGGCCAAUACUGACGCUCAUGCACGAAAGCGUGGGGAGCAAACAGGAUUAGAUACCCGAGUAGUCCCUGUCUCUUAUAC